UACGUAGGGGGCAAGCGUUGUCCGGAUUUAUUGGGCGUAAAGAGCGUGUAGGCGGCUGGGUAGGUCCGUUGUGAAAACUCGAGGCUCAACCUCGAGACGCCGAUGGAAACCAUGUGGCUAGAGUCCGGAAGAGGAGAGUGGAAUUCCUGGUGUAGCGGUGAAAUGCGCAGAUAUCAGGAAGAACACCCGUGGCUAAGGCGGCUCUCUAGUACGGUACUGACGCUGAGACGCGAAAGCGUGGGGAGCGAACAGG
This 253-nucleotide ribosomal RNA is filed under the name uncultured bacterium. Its description in RNAcentral is "partial 16S ribosomal RNA". It matches the Rfam family "Bacterial small subunit ribosomal RNA", at positions 524 to 776 of the family's 1533-position model. The record is from RNAcentral.